AUACACACCUACCUACCGAGAGACCUCCAAACAGAGACAUCAACACAGAAACCUCCGCAGAGAUAACCAGAUCUCCAUAUGCAAACCCAUGUAAAAAGAAACCUAGAGAAACAGAUGCCCAGAUGAAGAGGGGUUUCCAGACAGAUUCUUGGCUGACGUUUCUGUCAGUGGUGUGAAAGGACAUUUACCCAGAUUCUAUAGAUAUUUUGGUUAUGCACUCAACAAACCUACAAUGAAACUACCAGAAUACAAAAGCAAUUGUGAACUCCAGAGAGUGCUAGAAAACAUUAUGGAAGAGGGUAUAGUUUAUGUUAAUUAUAGAGGACUAAAGAGAUGUAGAAUAGGAGAGCUGAAAAAGCCUCCACUUCCAGUGGCUCUUAGAGUGUAAUUAGUCCAAGGGACAGCAAGCUGCCUUCUAGCAGAAUCGUUGUGAUCCCAAAGCCCACAUGACUGGGGCCUCUCUCUGGUCCUUUAUACAGUAAUUAAUAUUUAAAAGAUCUCGCUAAAGCCCUGUCAAGUCCUGAAGCAAGAUUUUGAAAAAUAAAAAAACUCAUAAAACACAAAAUAGAACAAAA
RNAcentral lists this long non-coding RNA (575 nucleotides) under Homo sapiens (human). RNAcentral describes it as "suppressor of inflammatory macrophage apoptosis lncRNA (SIMALR)". The record is from RNAcentral. Lineage: Eukaryota; Metazoa; Chordata; Mammalia; Primates; Hominidae.